UUUUUUCAAUGAACAACAACCAAUAAAAAUUAUUUUUACAUCUUCUCAUGCAACUUGUUUCAAGAAAAACCCACAAAACAUAUUUUAAAUCAUCAUGUUUUACUUUUUCUUAAUAAGUGUGAUUUUUGUUUUUUUUUCCUUAUAAUUUGGAACGGAUGGAGUAUCUAAUUAUUUUAUCUUAUAUAGAAAUAUCUCUUCAGGUUUUGUUAGGUCAUUAAUUAGAAAUCCUAAUUCCCCACAAAAUAAUAGUUAUGGUGUGUGGAGCCCUUUGAACUCCUCAUUACACGUUAAAAUAAAAAGUUGUAUUGAAAAACAACAAACAAAGACCUUCCAUUUUUUUAAAAACUAAACGUCUUUUCAAAAUUUGUGCAGUCGUUCAUUUCCCAUUUCAACGCGUGCCUCAAUGUUGAGAUAUCAAGUGUCAUAAAAAGUCUCUCAUUAGUUGAAAGAGUUAAGAUUGACCAACAUAUCAAGAGAUCUUAUAAACAUAUCUUAUAAACAUAAUGUCUUAAAAUUUUGGUAAAAAUGUGAUAUCAAAAUCACUUGACUUGCAUGAUUGCUCAAUAUCCAAUAUAUCAAUUCAACCUAGCAAGACUCUCCUAAAUAGCCCAACACUCACUAUCUUCCUCACUAUUGUCUUUAAGAACACUUCAUAUUUCUAUAUAUCUCUCGCUCCUUCUCCCUCCAACAACCCUUAUUAUUCUUUUAAACUUUUUCCUCGUUCCAAUGUGCAACUAUCAUAUUUCCUAAUCGUGUCUUUAGUCCCCAGGACACGCAACACAUCGAAAGGGUAAAAGAAUCUUGAAAGGCUUGGUGAUAUUGUAGAGCCAACCAUGUCAUAAAUUUAAAAUAUGGGUCUUGUUAACAAGUGUACUUUGACACUCUUUAAACAUUCCAUUCAAAAAAUUACACACUACAAUUUUUAAUGUUUUGACUUUACCCACAUUUUAAUAUGUGAAGCUCCUCUCAGUAAAUUAAAGUUAGUUGCUUUUUGUAUUGUAUUAAGGGUGUUUUGGUUUUGUAUUGUGAAUGAGAUACCUAUGGGAAUUAUUGUCUCUUGGAUUUUUUUAAAUAACAAUCCACCACUAUGAUUUUUUUUUUCCUGGUGCUGUCCAUUAGCAUUAAUCAAUGUUGAAACCGCGUCAUAUGAUAUAUCAAUGUUUUUUGUAUACAUUGUGUUAUUGUUUCGAUUUAAUGUACAGAUGUACUGUAUAAACAUAAAAAAAAUUGGACAAAAAUAUGACAUCGUACUCUCUCCACUCACAACACGAAAUUACGGAUAUCAAAGCGUGCAACAACUAUUAAAAAAACAGAUAAUGUAACUUUUGUAAGUUUUGCUAAUUUUUUUUUUGUUUAAAUAACAUUUUUCUUUAAUGUAUAUCUCUUUUUAAAUAUUAUUUUCACCUCAUAGGAUGUAAAAAAGUGUUGUAUCAAGUGGCUACUAGCCACCUUUACUGGGUUUCUCGGGCAGUGGUGGUAUCACUACAAAUAUUAAUACUGAGUUGCAAGCGAUCUUACAUAGCUUCCAGAUGGCUUGGAACAAUGGUUAUCGAUAUGUUGAGUGUGAAUCGGAUUGUCAAUUGGAUUUGAAUUUUAUUCAGGAUGAAGUUCAUACAACUCACCUUUACGCACCUGUUAUUGACCUCAUCAAGAAGUUCAUUGAUUAUCCUUGGCUCUUGUCUUUCCAUCAUUCCUUGAGGGAAGGUAAUAGUUGUGCAAGCUGGUUAGCUAAAUUAUAUUCUAUGGUGGUAAUAUUCUUAAACAACCUUUUGGUACAUUAAACACCAAUCAAAGAAAUAAAAUGAUGGAUAGAGUGCAUCUCAUGUUAGCUCUCUGAUGCUGUAGAACUGGCANNN
This 1856-nucleotide long non-coding RNA is filed under the name Trifolium pratense (red clover). RNAcentral's name for it is "long non-coding RNA (TPRA_LNC012280)". The record is from RNAcentral. Lineage: Eukaryota; Viridiplantae; Streptophyta; Magnoliopsida; Fabales; Fabaceae.